RNAcentral lists this ribosomal RNA (411 nucleotides) under uncultured bacterium. RNAcentral's name for it is "bacterial SSU rRNA". It matches the Rfam family "Bacterial small subunit ribosomal RNA", at positions 29 to 487 of the family's 1533-position model. The record is from RNAcentral.
AGCGAACGCUGGCGGCAGGCCUAACACAUGCAAGUCGAACGAACUCUUCGGAGUUAGUGGCGGACGGGUGAGUAACACGUGGGAACGUGCCUUUAGGUUCGGAAUAACUCAGGGAAACUUGUGCUAAUACCGAAUGUGCCCUUCGGGGAAAGAUUAUCGCCUUUAGAGCGGCCCGCGUCUGAUUAGCUAGUUGGUGAGGUAAAGGCUCACCAAGGCGACGAUCAGUAGCUGGUCUGAGAGGAUGAUCAGCCACAUUGGGACUGAGACACGGCCCAAACUCCUACGGGAGGCAGCAGUGGGGAAUCUUGCGCAAUGGGCGAAAGCCUGACGCAGCCAUGCCGCGUGAAUGAUGAAGGUCUUAGGAUUGUAAAAUUCUUUCACCGGGGACGAUAAUGACGGUACCCGGAGAAG